Molecule: ribosomal RNA, 396 nt
Filed under: uncultured bacterium
Lineage: Bacteria
Description: partial 16S ribosomal RNA
Rfam family: Bacterial small subunit ribosomal RNA
Source: RNAcentral
AUACGUAGGGUGCGAGCGUUGUCCGGAAUGAUUGGGCGUAAAGGGCGCGUAGGCGGCCCGGUAAGUCUGGAGUGAAAGUCCUGUUUUUAAGAUGGGAAUUGCUUUGGAUACUGUCGGGCUUGAGUGCAGGAGAGGUAAGUGGAAUUCCAGUGUAGCGGGGAAAUGCGUAGAGAUUGGGAGGAACACCAGUGGCAAAGGCGUCUUACUGGAAUCAACGUGACGCUGAAGCGCGAAAGUGUGGGGAGAAAACCGGAUUAGCUACCCUUGUAGCCCGGAUUGUAAGCGAUGAUUGCUAGGUAUAGGGGGUAUCGACCCCUUCUGUGCCGUAGUCUACAAAAUAAGCAUUACGCCUGGGGAGUACGUCAGCAAGGUUGAAACUCAAAUGAAGUGAAGGGG